AAAAAUUCCCAGAGAUCUUGGAGCCAAUGGAACAUUUGGUGUCUCUUCGUUUGCAAGGGACAGCUGUCAAAAUGCUUCCUUCGUCUAUUGGAAAUCUAAUUACUCUUCAAACUUUAGACCUUAGUGGCUGCAAGCACCUUGUGAGUCUACCAACCAACAUUUGUAGGUUGAAAAAUCUGAAGGAACUCAAUCUCUAUGGCUGCUUUGAACUUGAAAAAUUCCCAGAGAUCUUGGAGCCAAUGGAACAUUUGGUGUCUCUUCGUUUGCAAGGGACAGCUGUCAAAAUGCUUCCUUCGUCUAUUGGAAAUCUAAUUACUCUUCAAACUUUAGACCUUAGUGGCUGCAAGCACCUUGUGAGUCUACCAACCAACAUUUGUAAGUUGAAAAAUCUGAAGGAACUCAAUCUCUAUGGCUGCUCUGAACUUGAAAAAUUCCCAAAGAUCUUGGAGCCAAUGGAACAUUUGGUGUCUCUUCGUUUGCAAGGGACAGCUGUCAAAAUGCUUCCUUCGUCUAUUGGAAAUCUAAUUAGUCUUCCAACUUUAGACCUUAGUGGCUGCAAGCACCUUGUGAGUCUACCAACCAACAUUUGUAAGUUGAAAAAUCUGAAGCAACUCAAUCUCUCUGGCUGCUUUGAACUUGAAAACUUCCCAGAGAUCUUGGAGCCAAUGGAACAUUUGGUGUCUCUUUGUUUGCAAGGGACAGCUGUCAAAAUGCUUCCUUCGUCUAUUGGAAAUCUAAUUAGUCUUCAAACUUUAGACCUUUGUGGCUGCAAGCACCUUGUGAAUCUACCAACCAACAUUUGUAAGUUGAAAUAUCUGGAGGAACUCAAUCUCUCUGGCUGCUCUGAACUUGAAAACUUCCCAGAGAUCUUGGAGCCAAUGGAACAUUUGGUGUCUCUUAGUUUGCAAGGGGCAGCUGUCAAAAUGCUUCCUUCGUCUAUUGGAAAUCUAAUUAGUCUUCAAACUUUAGACCUUCGUGGCUGCAAGCACCUUGUGAGUCUACCAACCAACAUUUGUAAGUUGAAAUAUCUGGAGGAACUCAAUCUCUCUGGCUGCUCUGAACUUGAAAACUUCCCAGAGAUCAUAAAGCCAAUGGAACAUUUGAAGUACUUAAAUUUAAGUGGAACAACGGUUA
RNAcentral lists this long non-coding RNA (1134 nucleotides) under Malus domestica (apple). RNAcentral describes it as "long non-coding RNA (MDOM_LNC004926)". Lineage: Eukaryota; Viridiplantae; Streptophyta; Magnoliopsida; Rosales; Rosaceae. The record is from RNAcentral.